Molecule: long non-coding RNA, 1386 nt
Filed under: Lonchura striata (white-rumped munia)
Lineage: Eukaryota; Metazoa; Chordata; Aves; Passeriformes; Estrildidae
Description: domestica (Bengalese finch) lncRNA (ENSLSDG00000007039.1)
Source: RNAcentral
AGCCUGGAUGGAAGGUGACUGGGGAGGUAGAAAGCAGAUAUUUUCUCCAGUUCCUAUUUGUUGGUUAUUGAAUGGCAAUCAGCAGAUCCCAUUUUGCCUUAUGAUUUCAAAGUGAAAUUUUCCUUGAGUGGAGCCUAAUCUGUGCUUGAGUGUAAUGAAUGACCUGUGCAGACACAGGCAGAAAACUUCACACUGCAAGAAAGAGCUUCCCAUGAGCUGUUAAGGGAUGCAGUUAUUGAAAUCAAAGACUGGAAGCAAUUUUUAAAUGCCCAAAGAUGGGUUAUUCAAACUUUGAAAGACCAGCUUCACUACAGUGUGGCAUAGUCACUGAUGUUGCAGUGUGGUGUGAGAAUGCAGAACAUUUCCCUGCAGCAAUCCCAUCUCCUGCACCAAACAGAGGCUCUCCAGUGCACUUAUUUUACAGUGAUUUAGGGACUGAGCCCGAGAGCAGCACAAGCUGUGUUUAAUUUUAUUUCCUGAAGGCACAGACUGAAGCAAUAUUAGAAGCAGACUGCACUGGCCUGUAGAAAACUCACAGUGUUGGAUUUUUUUUUUUCCACUGCUUGCCAAAGCCUCUGACAUCAACCUUACCCCAACAGGGAGCCAGAGGAAGGAGAGGGAGGUGCAAUGGCAGAUGGCAACCCACAAGGAGGCGAGAACUGCAUACUGCACUUUGGCACUCCAUGACAAGGACAACUUUACAGUAACCUACUUUGCUUAUAAAUCGAAUGAGGAUUAUUUGCUAUUUACCCCACCCCCACCCCUAUGUUUGGUCAGAUCACUGCAAGACAGGCAAAAAAAAUCUAAUUAAUUAAUUGACUUAGCUCUGCCAAGCUGUAUUUCUAAUGCUGGGAGGACAUAAGAGAACUGAUUUUAAUAUAGUUAAGCCAGACAUUGUGGAAUUUCAGGCUUUGAUAGGGUUUCAAUGUGUAGAUGAGCUGGGGGACAAAUUUGCCUACCCAGUAAAGGAGCAGUGAGUUUCUCUAUUACCUGGCCUGAAUGCCCCAGAAAUCUGCAGAAACCCAACAGAGGUUUUGCAAUGCUUUCUCCUUGUCUUUGCCUUCAAGCAAAAGCAUGUUCACUGGAGACAGACAACAGAGACAAUUUCAUCUGCAAGCACAGAUUAUGCCUAGGAGUCAAGAGGAGGCAGCUGCACUCCUACCUUUUGUGCUCUUGGGAAACUCAUGCCAAUGCCAAGAAACUGCAGGAGCAGCUCCAGCACUGUUACACAGCCACCUUCACUCAGAAGUGUUGUGUUCUCUAAAAACCAGCUGUUUUCCACACCAAGCCAUGAAGUGGGACCACCUGAUGUCCCAGGCCACCUCAGACAAGUUAGACAGCAUGGCAAGGGUUGCAAAUGGAGAGGCGUCCACCUCUCUGCUGUGA